Long non-coding RNA from Lingula anatina, 220 nucleotides. The record is from RefSeq and is a predicted model, not a curated record. NCBI's taxonomy places the organism in Eukaryota, Metazoa, Brachiopoda, Lingulata, Lingulida, Lingulidae.
CUUGGCAUGAUGUGGAAACGAGGCUAAAAGAAGGCGCGCUGUAUCUAAACUGAUGUAAAUUGGCACAUCGGAACGAUAUUAUAGGAGGACGUCCUUCAAAAUGGCCUCCACGGCUGCUUCGUUCGUGACCGAAGUUCUGGCAACUGCUGGGAGCCUUAAAAAAGAAGACAUACCAACUACACAGCUGAACCAGCUAUCUGGUAAGAUACGGGAUGUAAAG